RNAcentral lists this ribosomal RNA (168 nucleotides) under Staphylococcus aureus. RNAcentral's name for it is "partial 16S ribosomal RNA". It matches the Rfam family "Bacterial small subunit ribosomal RNA", at positions 1 to 163 of the family's 1533-position model. The record is from RNAcentral. Lineage: Bacteria; Bacillati; Bacillota; Bacilli; Caryophanales; Staphylococcaceae.
UUUAUGGAGAGUUUGAUCCUGGCUCAGGAUGAACGCUGGCGGCGUGCCUAAUACAUGCAAGUCGAGCGAACGGACGAGAAGCUUGCUUCUCUGAUGUUAGCGGCGGACGGGUGAGUAACACGUGGAUAACCUACCUAUAAGACUGGGAUAACUUCGGGAAACCGUAGC